RNAcentral lists this long non-coding RNA (246 nucleotides) under Elaeis guineensis (African oil palm). RNAcentral describes it as "long non-coding RNA (EGUI_LNC069176)". Lineage: Eukaryota; Viridiplantae; Streptophyta; Magnoliopsida; Arecales; Arecaceae. The record is from RNAcentral.
AAGGGACACAUAUACCCAUAUUCCAUCAGAGCAACCCUUGACAGAAGAGUGCUCCAAAAGUAGUCACGCUCAGUAAAAUGUACUCCUACAUAUCACCUGUAUGCCAUACCCAUGUCACCAUACGUCUUGGUUAAAAGGACAACCAACUAAUAUGGCAUACAACAACCUACACUCGAUACAAUUAUUAUCUUUAUAAUAAUUGUAUCAUUUGGUCAUGAGUAGGAUUUAAGAACCACAUGAUAAAUC